Molecule: ribosomal RNA, 422 nt
Filed under: uncultured archaeon
Lineage: Archaea
Description: bacterial SSU rRNA
Rfam family: Archaeal small subunit ribosomal RNA
Source: RNAcentral
UCAGCCGCCGCGGUAAAACCAGCACCUCGAGUGGUCAGGAGGUUUAUUGGGCCUAAAGCAUCCGUAGCCGGUUGUUUAAGUUUUCGGUUAAAUCUAUGCGCUUAACGUAUAGGCUGCCGAAAAUACUGGACAGCUAGGGGGUGGGAGAGGUACACGGUACUCAAUAGGAAGGGGUAAAAUCCUUUGAUCUGUUGAUGACCACCUGUGGCGAAGGCGGUGUACCAGAACACGUUCGACGGUGAGGGAUGAAAGCUGGGGGAGCAAACCGGAUUAGAUACCCGGGUAGUCCCAGCUGUAAACGAUGCAAACUCGGUGAUGCAUUGGCUUGUGGCCAAUGCAGUGCCGCAGGGAAGCCGUUAAGUUUGCCGCUUGGGAAGUACGUACGCAAGUAUGAAACUUAAAGGAAUUGGCGGGGGAGCACA